RNAcentral lists this ribosomal RNA (429 nucleotides) under Chloroflexota bacterium. Its description in RNAcentral is "Chloroflexi bacterium partial 16S ribosomal RNA". It matches the Rfam family "Bacterial small subunit ribosomal RNA", at positions 355 to 776 of the family's 1533-position model. The record is from RNAcentral. Lineage: Bacteria; Bacillati; Chloroflexota.
UGGGGAAUAUUGCACAAUGGGCGCAAGCCUGAUGCAGCCAUGCCGCGUGUAUGAAGAAGGCCUUCGGGUUGUAAAGUACUUUCAGCGGGGAGGAAGGGAGUAAAGUUAAUACCUUUGCUCAUUGACGUUACCCGCAGAAGAAGCACCGGCUAACUCCGUGCCAGCAGCCGCGGUAAUACGGAGGGUGCAAGCGUUAAUCGGAAUUACUGGGCGUAAAGCGCACGCAGGCGGUUUGUUAAGUCAGAUGUGAAAUCCCCGGGCUCAACCUGGGAACUGCAUCUGAUACUGGCAAGCUUGAGUCUCGUAGAGGGGGGUAGAAUUCCAGGUGUAGCAGUGAAAUGCGUAGAGAUCUGGAGGAAUACCGGUGGCGAAGGCGGCCCCCUGGACGAAGACUGACGCUCAGGUGCGAAAGCGUAGGGAGCAAACAGG